UUUUUUUUUUUUUUUUUUUUUUUUGCCAUUUCUUGGGCCAUUCCCAGGCUAGUGAUUGAAUCGGAGCUAUAGCUGCUGGCCUACGCCAGAACCACAGCAACAUGGGAUCCAAGCCGCAUCUGCAACCUACACCACAGCUCACGGCAACGCGGGAUCCUUAACCCACUGAGCAAGGCCAGGGAUUGAACCCACAACCUCAUGGUUCCUAGUCAGAUUCAUUAACCACUGAGCCACGACGGGAACUCCCCAAUUUUCUUUACAUAUUUCUGUAUUUUCCAUAUUUUUAUAAUAAGGAGACAUUACUUUUGAAAUCAGAAAAGGCAACACUUUUAAUACAGAAAACAACAUUACUACACCUAUCCAGCAGUGUGGCUUUACUGCCAAAAUGGAAUAUCAAUGAGCAAACAUCACAUCCUUCUAGGAUUUGAGAUCAUAAGAAACAGAGAAAUAGGACCUGACACUUAGAUUGAGACACUGAAAAGACCAUGUGACAGAAAGAAUUAAAAAAAAAAAAAAGAUAGCCAAUCUAAUUCUGGCAUUUCUGUGCUACCAGGGGCAGGUAUCUUUCCUUUCAGUGCUGGCUAAAAAAAACGGUGGAGAAAAUUCACAGCUUCUCGUAGUUUCUAGGAGGCCACUCUGCAAGUGGAAUUUAUCUAUGGAGAAGAGUAAAAUUAUCUACCCAAAGACACCGAUCAGGUCAGCAGACAUCAAUACUGCUGCCCUACUUCACUUCUCCAGAGAGAGUAAGUAUUACUUCAACCACAUCUUAAGUUAAAGGCAUCAGAACAAUCAAAGAGGUAGACCACCAACAGGCUAGCUGCCUGUCUAACUCCAAAGAGAGAAAACGGGAGGUCUGAGGGAACCUUCUGUCCCACCUUCGACAAAUAUAAAACAAGGAGGUUGGCCUAGGAGACUUAAGGACCCUUUCCUUUCCAUUUUGAAAUUCUGUGAUUCCAAGACACAGGUUUCGUGUCUGGCAUACAAAGUCAUCUUGUCCAAAAGAGCAGCUCAUGACAUCUUCCAAAGGCUGGUGAAACUCCUGCAACAAUGAGUAAGAGAGUGGAGCACGGUAAAGACUCGGGAGCUGCGGAGACAGACGGCUGCCAACAGGCAGCCCUGGCACCUGCAGCCCGCUGUGAGGCCUCAUCAUCACAUGGCACCAGGUGGCCUCCAGGAGUAUGACCCGCCUUCACGAGCAGCUCCGUCUGACCACCUGGGCUGACACAAAGGUAUCUAUCUGGUCCAGCCCCAAAGCUUCUGAAGGACAAAAAAGCAGGCUAUGUGGCAAGGUCAGAAAGACAGUCAAUGAGUUGGAAGUUCAAAUCCCCCCUCAGCCAAGAGGGAUGGAAACUCUGGGACUCCGGCUUCUACAUCUACAAGACGGAGAGAGACGAGCCUGGUAGAUGGGGGUGUCUCUCCAACUCUUCCGCAAGGUCCCCUCAGCCGUCAGAGGGAACAUCCUGACACACCUGCUCUAAGCGCAUAAUCCUACGUCUCACCGGGACUCAUGUUCAUCUCGCACCCCCCUCUGUUCUCAUCUACGUCCACGUACUUCUUUUCUGCACCUGCGGCACAUGGACGUUCCUGGGCUAGGAGUGAAUCAGAGGUGCAGCUGGGGCCUACGCCACAGCGGAUCUGAGCCACAUCUGCAACCGCACUGCAUCCUUAACCCACUGAGUGAGGCCAAGGAUCAAACCUGCAUCCUCACAGAGACUACACUGGGUCCUUAACCUGCUGAGCCACAAUGGGAACUCCAAUAUUUCCACAUUCUUCUCAUGUAAGUGACGGCUUAAAUAGAACAUGACUAUCCGUCAUGGAAACAACCUGAGUUCACACAUCCUCCCCACUCGCCUUGUCUUUGAGUAAAAGUGAUGCUCCCGGAAGCCACACCAUGAGUGUCCCAGAACAUCGGCUAUCUCCACACAGCCCAUCACAUAACCCUCCAGAGAACGCAUUCUCUGGUGUGAGCUGCUAGACUCCUAAGACUCACAAAAUUUUCUUCCUGGUAUAAUUUUCUAUGCCAAGAGGCAAUAAUGUAUGUCCAAGUGCCAGGUUCAUCAUAGGUCAUCAGAAGAUAGAAGCUACAUCUGAAUCUGAUUUGAUUUCUUUAUCAAAUUAAACGUGCUUUGAAAACAUGCAGCAGGAAUUCCCGUCGUAGCACAGUGGUUAACGAAUCCGACUAGGAACCAUGAGGGAACUCCCUCACAGGUGCUCUUUAAAUAGGCACUGCAUAACCACUACAAAUAAAAAACCAGCACGACAUAGUCAUUAUGUAGAUUUCAGUCUAGUUCUAGUCUAGACAAAGACAAGCCUGCACAUCAGCAACAAAAACAGAGGGAGCAGAGUGCCCGGAUUUUGCCGUGGGCAUGGGCUUGGGCAGGAUCGGCGGGAGACCAACGGGGCUCUGCCGAGUUCCUGCCGCUUUCCUCCUUCGUAUCAGACAGAGGCUGAUGCUAACCAUCGCCCUCCUCCGCAGUCUAUACCUCGAACGGCUGUCAGAGGAAGGCAGGAUUUCAGGCCAGGAAGAAGGAAGGGAAGGGCUGGUCUCGUGGCAAAGCACCGAGGGGGAGGAGGAAAAGGGGGAAGAGGCUCUGAAAGAGCAGUUGGUGCCAUUACAAUUCUGCCACGCAGACCGGGAGCAGCUCGCCGAAUUUUUUCACAAGACCUUUGAAGUUCUGUAAAGAAAAUCACCAGGAAACCAGCAGGAAUGCAAUGUUUCAUCUAGUGGAUGAAGCGUUGAAUUUCUGACGAAAAUCACUAGCUCCACAAUGCCUAAUGUAUUCCCAUUCUGCAAACCACCCUUGCAAGACAGCUGCCAGAAGGGAUCCCACCCCAGCACACCCUUGUCCUUUGAAAAAAUGCUUUACGUGUUCGUUGAAAUGACAUGUAUCACAAAAAAGAUGCUGUGUCUCAACAAAGACAAGCUGACGCCACUGCAUUUCAGAAAGACAAGGUCCUUGGCGGAAAGGAAACGGAACAGGCUUGGGGGUCUGUACAGGACACGUGAGUCCCACCCGGUGUCCCCUCUCUGGAAGGAAAGACCUUACUGCUCUUUGCCGGGGCUGGGCACCUUAGCCCGGGGCACACAGCGGACUCAGAGGCUCCCCCGCUGGCUGGCCAGUGACCCAUGAGGCGGCCAGCUGUGGAGGGUUCUGCCCAGCUGAGCAAGGCUUGGCAAACCUUUUGGUCUUAGGACCUCUUUACAUCCUGACCGAGUCAGAACAUCCCAAAGGGGUUUGUUACCGUCUUAAAGUGGGUUUUAUCUAUUGAUACCGCAAGAGAAAUUAAAACUGAGAAACCUUCCAAACUCAAGAACACACAUUUAACUGUCAGAGGAUGACACCCCUGCCCACCACACCCCCUCUGGAAAAUGCCACUAAAUAUGCAUGAGAGAGUAAGAGUGAGUAAGGGCAAAUAAUGCCUUGUAUUAUUUUUUAGGAAAAUAGUUUUGACCUCACAGGGUCCCUACAUGAGUCCUGGUAACCCCAGAAACCCCAAAGGCCAUCCUUUGAGAACCUCUGUAUCAGGGGCAAUGACAAACAGCUAAGCAGUCAGACUCAGACAAACUCACUCCAGAACUUUUUUUUUCGGUCUUUUUAGGGCCGUAGCCGUGACACAUGAAGUUCCCAGGCUAGGGGCUGAAUCAGAGCUACGGCUGCAGGUCUACACUACAGUCACAGCAAUGCUGGAUCCGAGCCUCGUCUGUGACCUACACU
Molecule: long non-coding RNA, 3716 nt
Filed under: Sus scrofa (pig)
Lineage: Eukaryota; Metazoa; Chordata; Mammalia; Artiodactyla; Suidae
Description: lncRNA (ENSSSCG00060026157.1)
Source: RNAcentral